This 301-nucleotide long non-coding RNA is filed under the name Brassica napus (rape). RNAcentral's name for it is "long non-coding RNA (BNAP_LNC019234)". The record is from RNAcentral. Lineage: Eukaryota; Viridiplantae; Streptophyta; Magnoliopsida; Brassicales; Brassicaceae.
AAUGGACCAACUCAUGCAUACAAUGCUCAAUCUCCAUUGUUCUACCAUUUUCCCAAACAUACAAGUUACACAAUCACUUCCCAAUGUCAAACCCAACUCCCAUCUCUCACCAAAAGAUCUCAAGAACACUUUGCACAUAAAACUCUUUUUCUCUGAAAUCUAUAAAGGAUUUUCUCAACUUCUAAACAAAUCUUAGCUCUAAACAACUUUGCUAACCCUUUUUUUUUUUUUUUUUCGGGGGCCAAGACUUUUUAUAAACUCGAGCUAGACGUUUAUCUAUUAAUUCCAAUAAGAUUAUCCA